Molecule: ribosomal RNA, 213 nt
Filed under: uncultured bacterium
Lineage: Bacteria
Description: partial 16S ribosomal RNA
Rfam family: Bacterial small subunit ribosomal RNA
Source: RNAcentral
CAAUCUACCUAUAACUGGGGGAAGUAGCCUUCCGAAAGGAAGAUUAAACCGCAUGAUAUCACGAAGCGGCAUCGUUUUGUGAUCAAAUCUCCGGAGGUUAUAGAUGAGCAUGCGUGACAUUAGCUAGUUGGUGAGGUAACGGCUCACCAAGGCGACGAUGUCUAGGGGGUCUGAGAGGAUGAUCCCCCACACUGGUACUGAGACACGGACCAG